UGAGAAGUUGGAUUUUGUGUGUGCCCUGGACGCCAUGAACAAUUCGAACGUCAACACCACUGUUGCUGAGUUGCUACAGCGAGCAGCCCAGAUGAUAAGCGAUGGGAAUACACACAGCACACCAUCGACGAACAUCCCGGUGGCGGGCCCAUCUAGCUCAGUUGUCGACGAGCACCGCAGGUUGUUCAAUCGACAACUGAGGGUCCACCCU
Pocillopora damicornis (cauliflower coral) is the source of this 211-nucleotide long non-coding RNA. The record is from RefSeq and is a predicted model, not a curated record. Lineage: Eukaryota; Metazoa; Cnidaria; Anthozoa; Scleractinia; Pocilloporidae.